Mandrillus leucophaeus (drill) is the source of this 1276-nucleotide RNA transcript. RefSeq lists it as uncharacterized. The record is from RefSeq and is a predicted model, not a curated record. Lineage: Eukaryota; Metazoa; Chordata; Mammalia; Primates; Cercopithecidae. The transcript has a single exon.
UCUUGAUCAAAGACAUUCCUGGGAUGACAGAGCCCUGUGAGCUGCGAGGCUGGCCCAGCGUGCGGGACGCACACCCCAUGCUGCAGCCCCUGCACAGGCCUGCCCUUGCUGGCCCUCGCUGGCCCUGGCUGCAGUGCUGACUCUGGGGACUAGCCUUAUGGUGGGACUGGUGAUGGAGCGGGUGCCAGGAGGCAACACAGCCUUCCCCACCAGAUUCAGAGGCCAGGCCCUCGAUGCUGGGCAGAGCCAGGCUGUGACUCUGCUUCCUGGGGUGCUUCAAGGAGGGUCACGCUGCAUGCAGGGUGGCUGGAGGGAGUGCCAGCUGCAUGCCACUGCCGCUGGGCCUGGCUUCUCUGGACUCCCACGGGCACUGCCCCAUCCUCUGCAACAGCCCUGCCCACUGUUAUCCCACAAGCACGGUCGGAAGUCUGCAUGCCCGCUCUGUCCAGCCUCCUUCCUCUGUCCCCUCAGGGACUUUCACUCCUCAUGACAACUCUAGGUGUUGUCUGGGCCCCUGGGGAAUCCCCGGCCCUUCCAGCCAUGGAGUCAGCUCCUGGCACGUGGAUCAGGCUGGACCUAUGGAUCUGCAACUCAGCCUGGCAGCUUGGGGCUGCCCUGUGGGAGCCGACACGACCUCCUUUCCAUUUGGCCCCCUUCCUAGGACCCACUGUUUGCCAGGGUGGGGAGAAGGGAGGCAGAGAGGAAUCAGGGAGACUUCCAUCCUGGAGGGACUCAGCCGGAGCAGGAAGGUGCCCAGGUAUGACAAUCCCAGACUGCCAGAGCCACCUGCCUGGUGUGGGGUGGGGAAGCCUCCAGAGAGCCUGUCCUCACAGUGAGUGCGGAGAUGAAGGGUCCUGUGGACCAAGGCGGUGGGCCGAGCACAGAACAGGAAGCUUGAUUCUGUCUGGUGUGUCAGGAGCUCCUGGGCAAAGACAUCGAGCUUACUGGGGCUCAAGGCUGGGUAGAGAUGGGGCUGAGUCCCAAGGACCUUGGACGGAGCUGAAGGGAGAUAGGAAGGCCGGGGGUUGGGGGCAGAAGAUGAAGAAUGGAUGAGGACUGUCUGCCUGCAGGGACAGGGGCCAGGAGGCAGGGCAGGGUCCCUCGUGAGCGGGUAGGGGUGCUGGGGCACCUGAGAACAGGCUUCUGAGAAGGGGCUGCAGGGAGAGCUGACUGCGGAAGUCGUUGUCUCUGAACUUCCUCAAAGGUCAGUUUUUUACUGUCACCCUCUGGGCAGCGCAGAUACUCCAACACUGGACGAGGCCUUCACUGCGUCCCA